This 5461-nucleotide long non-coding RNA is filed under the name Chlamydomonas reinhardtii. Its description in RNAcentral is "long non-coding RNA (CREI_LNC001411)". Lineage: Eukaryota; Viridiplantae; Chlorophyta; Chlorophyceae; Chlamydomonadales; Chlamydomonadaceae. The record is from RNAcentral.
ACACUUCACCAGCUUGGAGCAGGCGGCGUAUCAACCUUUGUGGUUGGUCAUUUGCAUCCGCGCGUGCAGCAGGGUGCUUUGGGUGUGGCAGUCGGGGGCGCCCUGCAGCACUUGGCUGUUUUUUUGGGGUGUGGCUCGUCUUCGUGCCCUUGUUGCCUGGUGCAUGGUUGCCUGGCGCCCGCCCUGCUGUGAUGCCCUGUGAGUGCUGAUCCUGGGCAGCUAUGCAGUUGCUGGGUGAUCCUGGUCGGUUCCGCCUGGUGUCUCAGCGCAGCCAAGACACCAGGGGCCAACGCCAGCCAUACAGCACACCCACACACAGCGCGGCCACAGCAGCACAUGCCGUGCCGUGUGGGGGGCCUGCCUUUGGGCAUCGCCGCCCACUGCCAGGCUUGGCAGCGGACAGCACCCCUGCUGGUGGGGGCAACGCUGCCAGCCCGUUCUUCAGCCCCGGGCUGCAGCUCCACCUUGCCCUGUCCACGCAUAGCCUGGCGCACGGAGUGCAGGACCUGACGACGCAGCCUCAGGGCCCCAGCCUGCCUACCUACCCAGUCCUUCUGGUGGGUGCCACCACGGGGCUCCCAGAGGGCGAGCAGCUGUCCUCAGCCAGCGUCCGGGAAGUGACCAGUGCUGCCCUGUCAGUGCUGGACACCAUGUGCCGGCAGGGCAACCAGCCGCAGCUCUUGCAGGGCCACUCUCUGCACAGCACAGGCCACCCCUCCCGCACGCUUGCGGGGCUGGCCUUCAGCCGGCGCGCGACCAGCGCCAGCAAAGCAGCCUUCACAGCGGAGCUCAUGCGCAAGUCGCCGCUGGCGGUACCACUCCAGCGCGGUCAGGCUGUCCUCACGGUUCACGUGCCAGUGGACACCCGGCCCAUCAUUCCGGGCACCUACACCGUCACGGUCAAGAUGGUAGGGGGCCCUGUGUGGGGGGCUUUCCGUGGUCGCACCGAUUUGGUGCUGCAGGCGGGUGGCUAUCCCACCACCUCGGACCCCUCUAACCUGACAUGUGCUUAUGUGGUCUCAGAGCAGUGCGCCAAAUCGGUGGGCCCCAAGGGGGAGCCCCAGGCCCCCGCAGGCCAGGGCAUCACCAACCACAUCUUUGCCUGUGUGCGGGGCCCCAUCUGGGACCCGCAGCUCUCUCACCUGCACUGUGCCAAGUUUGAGAUGCCCGGUGAGGAGCCCAUGCAGGUGGAGGUCCGUGGCGCCCCCCAGGCGGCUGGGACGGCCACGACAGCUGUGGCAGGCAGCCCUGCUCCGGCUGCAGCCGGGGUCGCCGACCUGGGUGGCAACACCUUGGGUGUGGCGAGGCCCGCGGCUGCCAUGGCGACCGCAGCGGACAUUGUUGACCACGUGGGGGACGUGCAGAUGCAGGAGGCGGCGGGUUUGGGUGACGCGGCGGCUGCAGCUGGUGGCGCCAGCGGGCCACACAGCGGGGCCCUGCCCCCGCUGCCAGUUCUGGUGGCGGGGGGAAGCAACCGUGCUGCUGCAGCUGCCCUGCGGGCCGCGCUGCAGCAGCAGCCCUCUUCACAGCAGCGGGUGACAGCGGGAGGGCUUAGCGGGGUCCAGCCGGCGGCAUGUGUGGGGGGGCCGCUGGCGGCCGGGCCUCGCCCUGCCGGUGCUGGGCCGGCUGGCGUGCAGCAGCAGCCCAGUGGGGCUCCCGCGCCACUGCCACCCUUGGAUCAGCGGGCAGCCGCCGGGCAGGAUCAGGAGCAGACUGCUGUGAUGCGGCGGUACUUGGCCGAGCUGGCGGACCUCAAUCUUCAGCGGCAACAGCGGUUACAGCAGCAGCAGCAGCAGGAGCUGCAGCGCCAGGGGCAGUCACCCAGGCCCCGGACCGGCUCCCAGGUUAUGGUCCUGGCCACGCUGGGGGGACAGGACGGGGCGGGCGGUGGCGCUGGCAGGGCGGCGUCACGGCGUGGGCAACGUGUUGACGUAGUUGACCACAUGGGGGACGUUCAGAUGCAGGAGGCGGCGGGUUUGGGUGACGCAGCGGCUGCCGCGGGUGGCGUCAGCGGACCACCCGCUGUGGCCUCGCCCUCGCUGCUAGCUCUGAUGGCGGGGGGAAGCACCCGGGCUGCUGCGGCUCCCCUGAGGGCCGAGCGGCAGCAGCAUCCCUCUUCACAGCAGCGGGUGGCAGCGGGAGGGCUUAGCGGGGGGCAGCCGUCAGCAGGCGUGGGGGGGCCGCCGGCGGCCAGGCGUCGCACGGCCGAUGCUGGGCCGGCUGGCGUGCAGCAGCAGCCCAGUGGGGCUCCCGCGCCGCAGCUGCCCUUUGAUCAGCGGGCAGCCGCCAGGCAGGAUCAGCAGCUGACAGCUGCGAUGCAGCGGUACUUGGCCCACAAGGCGGACCUCCAUCUCCAGCAGCAACGGCGGGUACAGCAACAGCAGCAGCAGGAGCAGCAGUGCCAGGUGCAGCCGCCCAGGCCCCGGACCGGCUCCCGGUUUGAGGUGUUGGCCACGCUGGGGGGACAGGACGGGGCGGGCGAUGGCGCUGCCACGGCGGCGCCCGGGCGUGGGCGACGGGUGCAACCAGCCGCGCACGCACCGCCACCGCCGCCGCAGCAACAGCCCCGCUCCAAAGGGCGCGGUGGCCCCGCCCAGCUCCCGCAGCAGAGGGCAGGGCGCUUGGGCGGCGGGCUGCCUCCCCCGCAGGACGGUGCUAGCUCGCCGCCGCGCGUGCCCACUGGGCGGCCGGCCGGGGGACAGCAGGCUGGUGGGGGCAGCGGGUCGGGGCGCCAGGGUGGAGGAGCGGGACAGGCAGUGCCCCAGCCGCCGCCCCAGGCGCGGCCGCCACUGCAGACGUCACAACCGGCGGGUGGUGGUAAGGGCAGGGGCAGGGGCCUGGGCGCGCCGGCUGGGGUUUCGGCCGACACGGCUGGGCGCGCGGGUGGGGGUGCGGGCAGUGAGGCGGAGUACGGGGCCGUUAGCCUGACCCGGGACAUGUGUGUUGCCAUCGGCUCUGACCUCGUGACGCACCAGAACCGCUGCGCAGAUGUGCAGGGGUAUGAGUGGGUGCAGCUGGGCCACGACACGCUUGGUGGCCGCCUCCUCGCCUACCUCCGUGACCAGGGCGCCACCGUACCGGACUGGGCCGUCUGCCGCGUGCCGGCUGGCCGUACCGCCGUCCUGGCACAGCUGCACGACGAGUUCACUGGCUGGUGGCGCCUAUACUCAGCCCAGCCUGCAGACACGCCCCUGCCCUCUGAUGUGACGGAGCAGCUGGAUGACGCCGCGCAGCAGGUGCAGACGGCCUACAUGGACUACGUGCUCCUAGACGCCCGCACCCUGCGGUCCGCUAAGCGUGGGCUGGCGGACCCCGGCGGGGCCAGCGGACCCAGCCGCCGGCAACGCCAGCACCGCAGCCGCAGUACCUCCAGCCUCAUGAGCCUGGGCAGCGCUCCGUUGCACCCCGGCGGCGCCAGCUCAGGUGCCGCUAGCAUGAGCACCAGCAGCGGCGGCGCGCCCCCCAGCCAGGGUGGCGACCGCCGCAGCAAACGCCACAGCAGCAACAGCAACCGCACCCGCCACGGCGCUGCCGUGGCCGGCGGGGGCUCAUAAUGCGGCCACCAGUGGGAGCGGCGAACCUUCGGCUGCUGACAGUGAAUGUCAACGGCCUGGGCUCGCCGCUCAAGGCGCGGGCGCUGGUCUCGCACCUGCAGCAAGUUGGGGCGGAUGUGGCGAUGGUGCAGGAGACCCACGCUACUGACACGACGGUGCUGGAGUCUUGCCUUCGUGCCGCGCAGGGGGCGUGCCUUCCGUGGCGCCACUGCCUUGCUGCCAGCCCGGCAGCGUCGCCCCACUCCUGUGGGACGGCUAUCCUGGCGCGGAGUCGGCUGUCCCUUCCAGGCUGCGUACUGCAGCCGCCGUCAACGGAUGCGGCGGGCCGUGUGGUAUGUUGGGAUUGGGACGUGGGUCACCUGCGCCUGCGCUUCGUGUGUGUGUAUGCGCCCACGGCCGUGGCGGACAAGCCUGCUUUCUUUGCCGGGCUGCAUACCCACCUGGCCUCGGACAGGGUGCUUGUUGUCGGUGGGGACUGGAACUGUGUCACCGAUGCCAGUCAGGAGGCGGCCCCUAGCCCAUCACGUGCUGCAGGUGCCCCGCAACUUGCCAGCCUCCUCGCCCAGUUCAGUCUGGUGGACCCUUGGGCGAGCAAGCGUGGCGGCGCCAAGGGCUACACGCAUCCGGCCACGCCCAAGCCGGCCACUCCCGCACGCCUGGAUCGGUGGUAUGUCAGUGCCGCCGCGGCGCCGUGGGUGGUGGAUGUCGCUCGCACGUAUGGGGCGCCUGGGGACCACAACGGUGUGCUGCUCACCCUGUCCUUGCCCGACCUGCCACAUGCGCACCGGGAGCAGUGGCGCUUCCCCACAUACCUGCUGUUUCACCCCUCGCUGCGUCUGGAGCUCGAGCAGCGCUUGGAGGCGCACGUUGCCGCAAAUCCUGUGACCAGUACAGGUGACGGCGAUUGCACGCAAUGGGAGGCGGACAAGUUCUUCUUGCGGGAGGCCGCCACCAGCAUCCACCGUCGGCAUGCACGCCAGACCCGGGACGGGCUGCAUGGCGUGGUGCUGGCCGCAGACGCGGCCGCUGCCCUGGCCGACCGGCCGGGUGCCAGCGCCGCGCAGCGUCAGGCUGCGGCCAUGGCCAACUUGGCGGUGUGGGAGGAGCGGGCAGCUGCCGCAGCGGCCAGCCACAAUGCCCGCGCUGCACUGAUGGAGGAGCAUGGGGAGCGGGGCACUCGCUGGUUCCAUCGGCAGGCUGACGAGCCAGCAGCCGGCGCGCAGGAGCCCAUCACGCACUUGAAGGUGCCGGGGCAACCGGCGCCUGUGGCGCUCACGGGGCCGGGCACGCGCAACACUGUCUCCGCAGCCGCUGCAGCCAUGUACAGCAGCACCACUUUACUUUACUUUACUUUACUUUACUCUCUUCUCUUGCUAUUCUUGCAUCCUCUUUUCCUUCUGCACAGCUUUGAAACAGUCGACGUCAUUUCUCUCGCGCUGUUUGACUUGCUUCCUUUUGUUUUAGGCUUCUUAAGGCCUACGAACCACUGUGAAGCAGUUUGCAUUUGUGGGCGUCCUCGUUUUUCGUCAGUCCACUUUGCAGCUGUAGCGCGACACUCCCUCUCCAGCGCCCUUCAGCCUAUGCCGGCUUGUGCUUUGGAACUCGACACCGCUAUGGAAUAGGAUUCUGGCGGUCCAGGAGCGUCGCCGUGGAGUUGGCGACAUUUCGCUUGUCAGCAUUUUAACAUCUCGGCGAGCACCACACUUCACCAGCUUGGAGCAGGCGGCGUAUCAACCUUUGUGGUUGGUCAUUUGCAUCCGCGCGUGCAGCAGGGUGCUUUGGGUGUGGCAGUCGGGGGCGCCCUGCAGCACUUGGCUGUUUUUUUGGGGUGUGGCUCGUCUUCGUGCCCUUGUUGCCUGGUGCAUGGUUGCCUGGCGCCCGCCCUGCUGUGAUGCCCUGUGAGUGCU